GACGAACGCUGGCGGCGUGCUUAACACAUGCAAGUCGAACGGAAAGGCCCUGCUUUUGUGGGGUGCUCGAGUGGCGAACGGGUGAGUAACACGUGAGUAACCUGCCCUUGACUUUGGGAUAACUUCAGGAAACUGGGGCUAAUACCGGAUAGGAGCUCCUGCUGCAUGGUGGGGGUUGGAAAGUUUCGGCGGUUGGGGAUGGACUCGCGGCUUAUCACCUUGUUGGUGGGGUAGUGGCUUACCAAGGCUUUGACGGGUAGCCGGCCUGGGAGGGUGACCGGCACCAUGGGGCUAGGGGUCGGCCCAGUCCCCUACCGGGGGCAACAGGUGGGGACUUUUCCCAAUGGGCCGGAGCCCGAGUCAACCACCCCCGGGUUGGGAUGCCCGCCUUUCGGGUUGUAAACGCAUUUGGCUUGUACCAAGCCGUGGUGACGGUAAUUGGGUAAAAAGCACCGGCUUACUUCGUG
RNAcentral lists this ribosomal RNA (467 nucleotides) under uncultured bacterium. Its description in RNAcentral is "partial 16S ribosomal RNA". It matches the Rfam family "Bacterial small subunit ribosomal RNA", at positions 28 to 507 of the family's 1533-position model. The record is from RNAcentral.